This 460-nucleotide ribosomal RNA is filed under the name uncultured bacterium. RNAcentral describes it as "partial 16S ribosomal RNA". It matches the Rfam family "Bacterial small subunit ribosomal RNA", at positions 338 to 795 of the family's 1533-position model. The record is from RNAcentral.
CCUACGGGAGGCAGCAGUGAGGAAUAUUGGUCAAUGGACGAGAGUCUGAACCAGCCAAGUAGCGUGAAGGAUGACUGCCCUAUGGGUUGUAAACUUCUUUUAUAUGGGAAUAAAAUGUUCCACGUGUGGGAUUUUGUAUGUACCAUAUGAAUAAGGAUCGGCUAACUCCGUGCCAGCAGCCGCGGUAAUACGGAGGAUCCGAGCGUUAUCCGGAUUUAUUGGGUUUAAAGGGAGCGUAGGUGGAUUGUUAAGUCAGUUGUGAAAGUUUGCGGCUCAACCGUAAAAUUGCAGUUGAAACUGGCAGUCUUGAGUACAGUAGAGGUGGGCGGAAUUCGUGGUGGAGCGGUGAAAUGCUUAGAUAUCACGAAGAACUCCGAUUGCGAAGGCAGUUCACUGGACUGCAACUGACACUGAGGCUCGAAAGUGUGGGUAUCAAACAGGAUGAGAUACCACUGUAGUC